GUGCUCACAAAUUGUGCAGCACAUGUAUUAAAAUUGGAACGAUACAGAGAAGAUUAGCAUGGCCCCUGUGCAAGGAUGGCAGGCAAAUUUGUGAAGCAUUCCAUAUAUAA
Molecule: small nuclear RNA, 110 nt
Filed under: Octodon degus (degu)
Lineage: Eukaryota; Metazoa; Chordata; Mammalia; Rodentia; Octodontidae
Source: RNAcentral